AACAGAAGAGAGUUAAUUCUAUUACUUAAGUGAUCUGGGAAUUUAGGGAUAGGCCAGGGAUUUGAAAAAAUAAAAUGAUACAUCUGUAUUAAUUCUGUUUUCUCUCAUUAAAAUACUGAGGAGAAAUAUGAUAAGAAAGUUAUUUCUACAUUUGAGGUAUUCUCACCUCCUCCUCCAAGUAAGAUCACACACACACACACACACACACCCCUCAAAUCUUCAGUUAAGGCAAGCUUUGCCAGAGUAUCUCAGCACCUCCUUAGCUUUUCAUAUUUACUCUUGAUUCAUUAAAGAUACAUUUUCUGUUUCUAGUCUGUUUAGGCUCGGUGUUUCUGUUGGGAAAGUAAAUAGUAAAAGACCACAUGGCUGCCAAGGGUAAACACUGCUGAAGGCCACAGCUGCAGCUUAAGAGAGAAAGCCUGGACUGGUCGACAAGGCAAGGCAGCAAGUCGGAGAGAGGUUAGAGAUAGGAAAAUGGAAUGUUUCAUCCUUGGUGGAAAUCACUAGGAAUUUAUCUUCAUACAGAAGAUUUCUUGGUUCUUUGUUUUGAGAGCUUCCUGAAGCCAUCAUGAUCUGCCUCUCUACAUGAGUUGAUAUUGACUGUUGUCUCCGAGCCAUCAGUCUUUGUUGUAAGAGGGACCACAGGAAGCAUCUGACUUCUUCGUCAUCUUGGCCCUGCAGUCCCAAUAAUUUUUUUCUUAGCUAUUUAAUUUUAAGGUUUUUACCACAUUUUUAGGACUAUCUUAACCCGUCUUGGAUAUUUCUAUUGUUUUCUCUCUCUCUCUCUCUUUGGCAAUGCUUUUAAAGAGAACUUUACAUUAUAUUGACUAGAAACAUGGACUUCAAUUUCAUCUAUUAUUGGUAUUUCUCUUUACACAGAACAUGGUAAAUUUUUAAUUAAUUUUUAUUGUGCUUUAAGUGAAAGUUUACAAAUCAGGUCUGUCUCUCAUACAAAAAUUUACAUACGCCUUGCUAUACACUCCUAACUGCUCUCCCUCUGAUGAGAUAGCACAGUACUUCCCUCCACUCUCUCUCCUCAUGUCCAUUCGGGUAGCUUCUGGCCCCCUCUGCCAUCUCAUCUCCUCUUCAGAUGGGAGAUUCCAACAUAGUCUCAUGUGACCACUUGAUCCAAGAAGCUCAUUCUUCACCAGUAUCAUUUUCCAUCCCCUAUUCCAGUCCAAUCCCUGUCUGAAGAGUUGACUUUGGGAAUGGUUGCUGCCCUGGGCUAACAGAAGGUCUGGGGUCCAUGGCUUCCGGGGUCCCUCCAGUCCCAGUCUGACCAUUAAGUCUGGUCUUUUAACGAGAAUUUGGGGUCUGCAUCCCACUGCUGUCCUGCUCUCUCUGGGUUUCUCUGUUGAGUUCCCUGUCAGGGCAGUCAUCAGUUGUGGCCGGGUACCAUCUAGCUCUUCUGGUCUCAGGCUGAUGUAGUCUCUGGUUUAUGUGGUCGUUUCUGUCUCUUAGGCUCAUAAUUAUUUUCUGUCUUUGGUGUUCUUCCUUAGAACAUGGUAAAUUUUUGGUGCCUAUGAUUGGCUGCUAACUGAAAGGUUGGUGGUUCUAACACACCAGCCAUUCAGCAGGAAAAAGGUGCGGCAGUCUGGUUCCAUAAAGACUACAGCCUUGGAAACCAUAUGGGGUGGUUUUACUCUGUCCUGUAGGGUCACUGUGGUCCAAUAUCUAUUUGACAGCAAUGGCUUUGUUUGGUUUUAUAAACAUUUUUCUUUUAGGGCAAGGGACUCGAUUUAUGGUGUAGAAUCCCAUUAACUUAAAAUGAGUCAAAGUAUCUAGUAGAUGCUUAUUACCAAAAAAAAACCAAACCUAGUGCUGUCGAGUUGAUUCUGACUCAUAUUGACCCUAUAGGAUAGAGUAGAACUGCUCCAUAGAGUUUCCAAGGAGCGCCUGGCAGAUUUGAACUGCUGACCCUUUGGUUAGCAGCCGUAGCGCUUAACCACUAUGCCACCAGGGUUUCCAGAUGCUUAUUACAUAGUACCUAUUCACUGGAAGAAUUUCUUUAUGUUUUAUGUGCCCAGUCACAAUGUGGUUGAUCAUUAAAAUGAUCUACCAGACAUCAGCUUUCCAGAACCCAUUUUUUUUCUUCCCUUCCUUUUCUUCCAUGUAAGCAAAGCAGCAUGUUCUUGGCCAAUUAUUAAUUAGCAAUAUGCAAAUGUUGCUUCUUUUUUCUCCCAAGUGAAUUCCUAUCUCAACUAAGGAUGGGCCACUAUUUUUCUAUCAAGUGCCACAAAAUUUUAUUUUUUAUUUAAAAAUGGAGCAAUACACGAAGAAGAAUAACAGUCAUCCACAUUUUCACUUCCCGGCAUUAAGUACUUGUCAUCUCAGUAUAUUUUUAGGCUUUUAAAAAUAACACUGUUAUUUUUGUAAAAAUUGUAUGUGCUCAGUAUAAAGAAUUAAAAAAUACAGAAAAAUGUAAAUGAAGAUGAAAAAAUUCACCACAUAUUCUACAAAAAAAAAAAGAUUGUUAACAUUAAGCGAACAUAAUUUGAGAAUCUAUCUGUGUAUGCACACAUAUCAACAGAUCUACUAAAAAUACUUUUAUUAAGAUGAAGUUUUAUAGAAGACACUUUGAUGGAAAAAGUAUUUUACUUGAAUUUAAUAGAAGAAAAAGAAACUGAAGGAAUUGUUAAACUUCAUAUAAAUGGGCUUUUAAACAAGAUAUAUUAUUUCCUAAAAGUUUCCUCUCAGAUUAAAAAAAGAAAAUUUAAAAAGCACUAAUUAGAAUAAUUGGUUUUUAAGCCAUGUGUUUCUGUCUUAGCAUUCUCAAACUUCCUCCUGCCAUCUUCCAAAUUUUGUUAGUAUUUUUAUAUUGCCUAGAAAUAUAACUUUUAUUUUUUCCUGUAGCUUUAAUUUUCUUAGUUUAUUCAGUUAGCUCAACAUUUCGCUCACUGUUUAAAUAGAUUUAAUACCUGAGUCUUUUUUAACCAGGUUUUUUCCUUUGCUCUUUAUUUUGAUUCAUAUUUUUAAAAUUUUUCGCCCAAGAAGGGUUUGUGAACGUUAUAUUCUCUGAGUUCCAUCACACUUGAGAAAGUCUACCUUAUGCCCUUUUAGUCAAAUGGCAUCUUGGCUGAGUAUGAUGUUCUUGGAUCACACUUUCUUUUCUUCAGAACAUUUUGAACAUUACUACAUUGUCUUUGGCAUUUACUGUUGUUAUGAAGACGUCGGAUUUUUUUUCCCCCAGUGUACCUGAUUUACUUUUCUGGUUGAUUGCUUGAAGGGUUAUUUCUUUAUACUUGCAUUUUAAUAAUGUAACUAAGCUCUGCUUAGUGUAAAGUGUUCUGCAUUAAACUUUCUCUCAAGAAUAGAAGACCCUUAUAGAAAUACCAUAGAGACCCAGCAAUCCCACUCUUAGGAAUAUAUCGUAGGGAAAUAAGAGCUGUCACACAAAUAGAGAUAUGCACAUCCAUGUUCAUUGCAGUAUUGUUCACAAGAGCAAAAAGAUGGAAGCAACCUAGAUGCCCAUCAACAGAUGAAUGGAUAAAUAAACUAUGGUACGUACACACAAAGGAGUACUACGCAACGAUAAAGAACAAUGAUGAAUCUGCAAAGCAUUUCACAACAUGGAUAAAUCUGGAGGGCAUUAUGCUGAGUGAAAUAAGUUAAUCACAAAAGGACAAAUAUUGUAUGAGACUACUACUAUAAAAAGUCACGAAAAGGUUUACACAAAAAGAAACAAUCUUUGAUGGUUACGAGGGAGGGGAGGGGUGUGAAUGGAAAAACACUAAAUAGACAAUAGAUAAGUGGUAACUUUGGUGAAGGGCAAGAUAUUACACAAUACUGGGAAAGCCAGCACAGCGUGUACCAGGCGAGAUCCUGAAAGCUCCAUAGACUCACCCAAACUCCCUGAGGGACCAAUUUACCGGGCUGAGGGCUGUGGGAACCAUGGUCUGGGGAACAUCUAACUCAAUUGGCAUAACACAGUUUAUAGGGAAUAUGGUCUACAUUCUAGUUUGGUGAGUAGCAUCUGAAGUCUUAAAACCCUGUGAGUGGCCAUCUAAGAUACUCCACUGGUCUUACCCCUUCAGGAGCAAAGGAGAAUGAAGAAAACUAAAGACACAAGGGAAAGAUUAGUCCAAAGGACUAAUGGACCACAACUACCACAGCAUCCACCAGACUGAGUCCAGUACAACUAGAUGAUACCUGGCUACUACCACUGACUGCUCUGACAGAGAUCACAAAAGAAGGUCCCAGACAGAGCUGGAGAAAAAUGUAGAACAAAAAUCUAACUCACAAAGAAAGAUCAGACUUACUGGUCUGACAGAGACUGGAGAAAUCCUGAGAGUAUGGCUUCCAGAUACCCUUUUAGCUCAGUGAUUAAGUCACACCUGAGGUUCACCCUUUAACAAAGAUUAGAUAGGCCCAUAAAACAAAACGAGACUAAAGGGGCACACUAGGCCAGGGGCGAGGACUAAGGCAGGAGGGGACAAGAAAGCUGGUAAUAGGGAACCCAAGGUCGAGAAGGGAGAGUGCUGACACGUCAUGGUGUUGUUAACCAAUGUCAUAAAAUAAUAUGUGUACUAACUGUUUAAUGAAGAGCUAGUUCUGUAAAUCUUCAUCUAAAGUACAAUUAAAAAAAAAAAAAGUUAAGAAGAGAAGACCCUUUCAAGCUGCAGAUCCAGAUUUUCCCCUCGUUAGUUCCAGGAAAUUUCCCUCACAUUACGUGUUUGUCUUCAUUUUCUGUUUUUUGUUGUUGUUGUUGUUGUUUGUUGUUGCUGGGUCCUGCUUCAGGGACACCAAUUAUCCUUACAUCGGGUCAUAUUUAUUUGUCUUCUAUAUAUCUUAGUUCAUCUCUAAAUGCUGUGAUCUCUCUUUUUUAACUUGUUUUUAUACUGAUUAGCUCAAAUCUUUCUUCUAUGUCUGCAAUUUGAUAUCUAGCAAUAACUGCUCUGUUACUUACUGUUUCUAAAUUAUUUAUUGAUUUUUAAUGAUAUUGUUUGGCACCUCAAUUGUCUCCUUAGGUCUGUAAUCACUUUUUCCAUCUUGUUAGGUCAUUGUUAUCAACAGGCCAUUGGGUCUUUGUUUGGAUAAAACCAAUUACUUAUUAAGUUAUUCUAUAGUGUGAAGCAAUUUUCCUUUUAAUUCUUGAUGCUCUUUUAUUAUUUAGUUCUUUCUUUUUCCUUUGCUUUCUUCCUUCCUUAUCAUAUUUAUGAAGUUGGCAUGCCAUGCCAUUUCUUUUUCUUUCAUUCAUGCUUGGGUGGCUGCAAUGAGACAUUUUAUUUGCUCUGAGGCACUGAAGUUACUUCUUGAUUUUUUCCACAUUAUCUAUGACCUUUUUUUUUUUUUCUUUCCAAGCUAUAGUUUGAUGGCUGAGUAUUUUUGGGUUCUACCUACUCUUCUAAAAUCCAAGAGAAGGACAGCAGAAGAAGAGAGUCCAGAUGGGGUCUAUGGAGUCUUCGUUAGAUAAUGUGGGCCCUACUUAUUGUUCUAGAAUUUUAUUGAUGGUUCUGCGUCAAAGUCUACUUGAGGGGUAGGCUCCUUUCCUGUGAGUAUAGCCUGGACCCUUGGGCAGUAUAUCCUUGGAGUUGUCAUUUCCAAGGAGUCAGUCCUUAUUUCACUUCCUUUUCCUCAACAGCCCCUCGACUCCAAUUCCUCAGUUUGAAAAGGGACUCAGGUGGCUUCUUUACAAGUUUGAUUUUAUCAAUUCAUCAGUACAACUUUUAGGGGCUUAAAUCCAACCCAUUGCCGUCAAGUCAAUUCUGAUUCAUAGUAACCCUAUAGGACAGAGUAGAAUUGCCCCAUGGAGUUUCUAAGGCUGUAAAUAUUUAUGGAAGCAGACUGCCACAUCUUUCUCCCACUCAGGGUGAUUAGGCAGAGGUAAAAGUAAAGCUGUGCUACCUAUCUGCUCCAUUUCAGAAUCUUCUGUAUCUUUCCUUAUUUGCCAGUUUUGGGAGCUUAUUGCACUAAUCUAACCCCCUUUUCUUGUUUUGUGGCUGUUAUAAUUUCCCCCUACCUUUUAUUAUCUUUUUUUUUUUCCUUUUUGCUCGUUUUGUUAAAUGCUGUAAAGGGAAAUAUGGUGACUUGCUUUUAAUCUGCAAUCUUAAAGCUAAGACAGGAUAUAGCAGAAGUUAUAUUUGAGAAAUUUAACAGAUGAUUUAGAUGUAAAUUUCAUAUUAUAACCAGUUAAAAGAGAGGAAGUCGAGAAGAGAUGUAUGAUGAGCGUUUUAGAAACUAUAGCAGAGAAAACCUGAGAGAAUAAAAGUACAAUAGAAAACAGCAAGGAAGAAAAUAACAGGGAAAUUCAGUUGGUUCUGAGGAUACCAGUGAUAAACUACUUUGGUGGGUGAUAUUGUCUUUUGGACUGAGGGGAUUGGUACUGGGACUGUAUCAUCACUGUGCUUUGAAAUUCUUGUAAACUUUUCAACCCUUAAAAAAGAGUCCUUCCUAUUCUGGGAAAUAGCUUGGCUGUUUCUAUUCUCAAACUUUAAAGUUUAUGUUUGAAAUAAAGUCUUAUUUUCCUAUGUAACUCUGGAAUGUUAACAGAUGUUGGAAGCAAUGACUUAAGUUUUAGAGUUUAUUUUGUAAUCUGAGAUUUGUUGGCCAAUGUGCCAACUAUCCUGAAAGUUCCUGUCAUUCUGUGUCAUGACUGUUAGAAUAGAGGGUACUAAGAAAGCAGAAGACACAGCUGAAUGUUGGGAUGAAGGACAUGGUUAGGGUGGUAGCAGCAUCAGAGCCUGGGAGAAAAGAGAAGGUCUCAGACACUGGGUGCAAAUAAGGAGUGGGGGAGAUGCAAACAUCUGCCAAGGGAUGUUGUAGAAACUGCAUAAAGCAGGAAGUCAAAUGUUUGGGUAAAAGUCAACCAGGAAAGCCAAAGCAAGCGGGACCAAAAUAGGCAGAAAAUUGGUGCCCACUAGCAAGGAGCAGAACACCAGGUGGCUUGUUUACUGCCAUUUUUACUCUAUCUUGACCAUGGAAAAAUUCAAUUCUAUGAUGGAAAACUUGCAAUGAUGAGCUGAUAAUUUUUGCUGAAGUGGAGCAAGAAAUAAAGAGAGAGAGAGGGAAUAUCU
This is a long non-coding RNA of Loxodonta africana (African savanna elephant), 7013 nucleotides long. RefSeq lists it as uncharacterized. The transcript is spliced from 4 exons. NCBI's taxonomy places the organism in Eukaryota, Metazoa, Chordata, Mammalia, Proboscidea, Elephantidae. The record is from RefSeq and is a predicted model, not a curated record.